GUUGUCCUGUCAGAGGAAGAGAAGAGGUCUGUUCUUAUGGAGUGCCACAAUAACCCUGGGACUGACAAUCACAGUGGUGUCAGAGGCAUUCAAAACAGAGUUAUUGCUGGCUACUAUUGGCCUUCAAUUAUCCAGGAUGUGAAAGAAUGGGUCAGAUCUUGUCACUGCUGCCAGUUGAAUGACCCCAUCAAGACUGUUGUGCCAGUCUUGCAUUCCAUUAAGGUAAAAUAAUCUUGGGAAGUGCUUGGUUUGGAUUUGAUUGGACCACUGCCAGAA
Long non-coding RNA from Xyrauchen texanus (razorback sucker), 276 nucleotides. RefSeq lists it as uncharacterized. The record is from RefSeq and is a predicted model, not a curated record. Lineage: Eukaryota; Metazoa; Chordata; Actinopteri; Cypriniformes; Catostomidae. The transcript is spliced from 3 exons.